GAUUGCUCACAUCCCAAAUAUUAGCAUCGACGAUAGAUGGAUUCAAUAGGAUGGCUGUUACAAACUACGAUCAGAAGAAUGAGACUUCUCCUGGGUUAUGUCCUUAUCCUCUUCAAUAUGCAUUAUUUUUUUGGUCAAUCUUAGAAGCAUACGCUAGUUUUGUCAUUAAAAUUCUUGGAUUUCAUUUUUUUUUUUAAUAUCGAAGUUUACAGAUAUCUUGAAAUUAUUAUAAUUUCAUAACUUUAAUUUUAGUUGCCGGAAUUAUUUCUGGCUCUUUAUAAUUUUUUCUUCCUCUUUGUCGUCCAGAUAGGAUGUACUGCUACUGCUACUGCCUAUGAACUUCAGGAUGGAGAUACAUUGAGUAGCUUCAUACAUGAAAUUUUGAUGAAGGGCAUUGCCAUUAAUCAACUUCAUCUACGAGUUUUUACUUUUCUUCACAUUCCUUUUUUUUAACU
RNAcentral lists this unclassified non-coding RNA (455 nucleotides) under Hevea brasiliensis (rubber tree). The record is from RNAcentral. Lineage: Eukaryota; Viridiplantae; Streptophyta; Magnoliopsida; Malpighiales; Euphorbiaceae.